GAUGAACGCUGGCGGCGUGCCUAAUACAUGCAAGUCGAGCGAACAGAUGAGGAGCUUGCUCCUCUGACGUUAGCGGCGGACGGGUGAGUAACACGUGGAUAACCUACCUAUAAGACUGGGAUAACUUCGGGAAACCGGAGCUAAUACCGGAUAAUAUAUUGAACCGCAUGGUUCAAUAGUGAAAGACGGUUUUGCUGUCACUUAUAGAUGGAUCCGCGCCGCAUUAGCUAGUUGGUAAGGUAACGGCUUACCAAGGCAACGAUGCGUAGCCGACCUGAGAGGGUGAUCGGCCACACUGGAACUGAGACACGGUCCAGACUCCUACGGGAGGCAGCAGUAGGGAAUCUUCCGCAAUGGGCGAAAGCCUGACGGAGCAACGCCGCGGGAGUGAUGAAGGUCUUCGGAUCGUAAAACUCUGUUAUUAGGGAAGAACAAAUGUGUAAGUAACUAUGCACGUCUGGACGGUACCUAAUCAGAAAGCCACGGCUAACUACGU
Molecule: ribosomal RNA, 496 nt
Filed under: uncultured bacterium
Lineage: Bacteria
Description: partial 16S ribosomal RNA
Rfam family: Bacterial small subunit ribosomal RNA
Source: RNAcentral